Molecule: ribosomal RNA, 401 nt
Filed under: uncultured bacterium
Lineage: Bacteria
Description: bacterial SSU rRNA
Rfam family: Bacterial small subunit ribosomal RNA
Source: RNAcentral
UGGGGAAUAUUGGACAAUGGGGGCAACCCUGAUCCAGCAAUGCCGCGUGAGUGAUGAAGGCCUUAGGGUUGUAAAGCUCUUUUACCCGCGACGAUGAUGACGGUAGCGGGAGAAUAAGCCCCGGCUAACUUCGUGCCAGCAGCCGCGGUAAUACGAAGGGGGCUAGCGUUGUUCGGAGUUACUGGGCGUAAAGCGCGUGUAGGCGGUUGUCCAAGUUGGAUGUGAAAGCCUUGAGCUCAACUCAAGAAAUGCAUUCAGGACUGGAUGACUAGAGGACCGGAGAGGAUAGUGGAAUUCCCAGUGUAGUGGUGAAAUACGUAGAGAUUGGGAAGAACACCAGUGGCGAAGGCGGCUAUCUGGACGGUUUCUGACGCUAAGACGCGAAAGCGUGGGGAGCAAAC